AUUUCUGAGGCUGAUUUCAAGAACACGAUAGUGAAUGGGAUGACUAUGAGGUAUGGAUCACUAUGAUAUAAUUGUUAUUCCCCUAUGUUUUCUGAAAAACUACUCUCAGUGUUGGAUCAUUUGUUUAAAAAGGAUCUACUGGGGGGAGAGUCUAUGGAGCCAGCCUCCACGAUGGCUCCCAGUGAUGCUCACCCCCUGGCAUUUUCACCGUCCUCCUGUGGUCUCCUCCAACACUGAAAAGGAGUUUGCAGAAAUGAUGACAUGCGACAUGUGAGAUGAGGUCAUAAAGGACGCGGCGGCUGUGCACACCCUGCUCUCUCUCGGAUCACUGGCUCUGGGUGAAGCCAGUGCCAUGCUGUGAGGACACUCACUCAAGCACUCCCAUGCAGAUGCCCACAUGGCAAGGAACGGAGGCCUCCUGGCAGCCACCAGCGCGGCCUGCGAGCCAUGAGCGUGAACCACCGUCUCCCAGGAGAACUUCAACAGAACUGUACAGCCAAGUUGCUGCCGAGUUCCUGGCCCAUAGAAACCGUGAAGGAAUACAUGUCUAUUGUGUGAAGCCACUGAGUUUCGAGGUCAUUUGUUGCACAGCCACAGGCAAUCGCGGAUUCACAGGCAACAAAGAGCAAUGGAAACGAAUUCAUCUGCAUAAGGGAUGCCAUGACCAGGGAGGAAGUCCCUUGGAUAAAGACGUGCCUGCAGGAACGAGGGUCCUAAGCCUGGAACCGAGAAUCCCUGACAACUACUCAGCAAACCUCUGUCUAAUCCUGCACUGAUGAGCUGCUCGCCGAAUCGGAAUCUGCCCACCCUGGAAUUCCCUGCGUCCACCGCUGACCAGUGCGCGACAAGUCUCCCGGUCGGUGGGGUUGCCAACACGGCAAUGGUCUGCAUAUUGGGAGCUCGUUGUCAUGAACCCCGAGGUGUUGCUCCUUCAUGUUAAACGCCCCAGAUUCCUUUACCACCACCCUUCACAUCGAAAGUAAAACUGCUCCCACUCCUGAUAAGAGUGUGAUCAAAAUAUGAUAAAACAAGACGAUUGCUUCCCUUGUUCUAAAUACUGUCUUUCUUACUCUGUCCAAAGACCACAUCGCCCCUCGGGACAGCCAUUGGAUACUGAUCGCCCACCCUCAUAACUGUCUCCCCCCGAGCCUUUCCCAUCCCCAAAUCUUUUAAUAUGUUCUACCAUUAAUUCAGGUUUCCCCCAUUAAUUGAUUUUAAAAAAAACAUGCUAAGACUAAACGAGUCUUACUACAUGUUAUAUGGUUAACUUGACUCAUGCUUCUGUCUUAUUGAGAUCUUUUUCAAUUUUGAUUUUAUCAUUCAGGAACUUAGGAGUUCUUCCAAAGUUUGUGUUACCCACAAACUUGACAAACAAGCCUCUUCUGUCUUCAUUCAGUUCACUCACAUGGACAGAAUUCUGUGGCUU
Canis lupus familiaris (dog) is the source of this 1426-nucleotide long non-coding RNA. RefSeq lists it as uncharacterized. The record is from RefSeq and is a predicted model, not a curated record. Lineage: Eukaryota; Metazoa; Chordata; Mammalia; Carnivora; Canidae. The transcript has 3 exons.